CCUAGAGUUGUAGGCUCUGCCUGCUAUCUCUUACCCAUGUCUUUUGAGUACCUUCGUUUCCUCGGCCGGGUCCGCCCGCCGAUUGGACAAUUUAAACCAUUUGCAGUUGCGAUCAGCGUCUGAAAAAACUUAAUAGUUA
This 139-nucleotide unclassified non-coding RNA is filed under the name soil metagenome. RNAcentral describes it as "partial internal transcribed spacer 1". The record is from RNAcentral.